AGACGGAUGAGAGGAAGUGGGGGUGUCAGAGCCGGCUGAGAUCCUGACCCUGAUAAAAUACCUGCUUCUACGAAGCUUCUGAAGAUCACAGGAGCCUCCUGCCUUUCUGUUUCUUAGGUGCAGGACUCUCUCUUUUUAGAGCCAAUGGUCCUUUCCAUCAAGGACCCACCAAGGAUGGAGAAGGACAGAGACCACAUGGCUGCAAGGAUAUUAGACCUCACCCUGGAGAUCAUCUCCUUGAUAACUGGAGAGGAUUACACAGUAGUGAAGAAGUCGUCUGGUGAGUGUGUGACACCCCGUGUGUCAGGAGGA
Molecule: long non-coding RNA, 312 nt
Organism: Bufo bufo (common toad)
Lineage: Eukaryota; Metazoa; Chordata; Amphibia; Anura; Bufonidae
Exons: 3
Source: RefSeq, a predicted model, not a curated record